GAGAGUUAAACAGUACGUGAAAUUGUUGAAAGGGAAACGAUUGAAGUCAGUCAUACCAACGGGAAAUCAACCUUUUGAGCUUGGUCUCGUGGGUUUUGAAGAGUUUCAAAGCCUUCGGAUUCGCGGGAUUGGGAUCUCUCGGUGUACUUUCUCGUACGGUUAGUCAACAUCGGUUUUGAAUGUCAUAAAAUGACUGGAGGAAUGUAGCUUCGAUCUCGUAUUGAAGUGUUAUAGCCUUUGGUAGAUGUGAUGUUUGAGACCGAGGAUUGCAACGGAUACCCUUCAGGGCUAUUCGUCUGAUCUCUGAUACGUUGCCCUGAUGUUGAAAGCUUGCUUAUGAUGUUAGGGUAUUACGGUCAAAAGGUUAGAACGAAUUACAUUCGUUAAGGAUGUUGACGUAAUGACUUUAAACGA
This 414-nucleotide ribosomal RNA is filed under the name uncultured Funneliformis. RNAcentral's name for it is "partial 28S ribosomal RNA". The record is from RNAcentral. Lineage: Eukaryota; Fungi; Glomeromycota; Glomeromycetes; Glomerales; Glomeraceae.